Molecule: unclassified non-coding RNA, 241 nt
Filed under: uncultured fungus
Lineage: Eukaryota; Fungi
Description: sequence contains ITS1
Source: RNAcentral
GUAUUGAUUUUGCGUGUCACCGCAAAAAAGAAAAGUACAUUCUAUAUCACUUUGAGGUUUGUGUGGGGAAAAAAAAAAACGCGGGCCCCCCUUUUCAAGGGGACCCACGCGUUGAUGCACAUAGGGGUGAGAUGGAUGUGUGUGAGAGCGCUCGGGCGUGCACAACCUUUGUAAAGGUCAGCAACAGCCCUUGCGUCUCCAUCGUAUGAUAAUGAUCCUUCCGCAGGUUCACCUACGGAAA